GGUUUAUGAGUUCAAUUAUUUAUUCGUAUUUCUCAGAAAAAAGGAGAAAAAUAGAGUGAUGAAUUUGGUGAACAAAACUUAAAAUAUUAAUUCAUUUCUCUUUGCUGUAGAAAAUAGGAGAAUAAUUUGCUUUCAAUGGUCAACAAAAUAGUUUUUGGCAAGAAAUCUCCAAUGGUCAACAAAAUUGGCUCCAAUAACAAUAAUAAAUUGCCUUUUUAAACUAUUAUAAUAAUAGAUCAAUUGACAAAAAUU
Molecule: long non-coding RNA, 252 nt
Filed under: Olea europaea (common olive)
Lineage: Eukaryota; Viridiplantae; Streptophyta; Magnoliopsida; Lamiales; Oleaceae
Description: long non-coding RNA (OEUR_LNC006482)
Source: RNAcentral